UACAGAGGGUGCAAGCGUUGUUCGGAAUUACUGGGCGUAAAGCGCGUGUAGGCGGUUUCGUAAGUCGGUCGUGAAAUCCCUGGGCUUAACCCAGGAACUGCGAUUGAAACUGUGAGACUAGAGUAUCGGAGGGGGUGGCGGAAUUCCCGGUGUAGAGGUGAAAUUCGUAGAUAUCGGGAGGAACACCUGUGGCGAAGGCGGCCACCUGGAAGAUUACUGACGCUGAGACGCGAAAGCGUGGGGAGCAAACAGG
This 253-nucleotide ribosomal RNA is filed under the name uncultured bacterium. Its description in RNAcentral is "partial 16S ribosomal RNA". It matches the Rfam family "Bacterial small subunit ribosomal RNA", at positions 524 to 776 of the family's 1533-position model. The record is from RNAcentral.